GUGAUAGCAGGUUGGGGAAUCAGCCCCGCCUCGUGGAAUGCCCUGAGUGUGCCAUUCAUGAGAUCCGGAUCCGGAGCAAGCAACCGACGACCUAUGACCAGGUGUUCUACAAGUGCCCGAACAACAUGCGGGGAUACCCUAGUACCUGUGGAUUCAUUAGGUCAGAAGAGCAAUACACGCGGUAUGUGGGUCGGUUGGAUGCAGUGCAAGCUCACCGGAAUGGUGAGUGCAAUGCAGAGGGUAUCGGAACUGAAGAAGCACGUUGGUGACAUGCAGCAGUAGAUUGAACGGGCUUUGGGGGAGAUCUAGAAGUUGAAGAUGGAGAUUUCAGAGUUGAACUAGCAAAUGUGUCAUGGGAAGAGAUUUUUUACCAUGGAUUCUUCGGGUGUAGUUGCUGUGUGUGUCAGUUUAGCUGUUUGUAUGCUAGUGACUAUAAUAUGGAAGUGAAAUGCCUUGUAUU
Molecule: long non-coding RNA, 460 nt
Organism: Panicum virgatum (switchgrass)
Lineage: Eukaryota; Viridiplantae; Streptophyta; Magnoliopsida; Poales; Poaceae
Exons: 2
Source: RefSeq, a predicted model, not a curated record